GAGAGAGAGAGAGACAGAGAGAGACAGACAGAGAGACACAGAGAGAGAGACAGGCAUCCCAGAGGAAGAAGGUGGAAGCUUUGGGGCGGGGUCUGAGCAGACGGACCUCCUCUCUCAGCGGCGAGUAAGAUGGUGGAGGAGAGAGAGGCUGGGAGGCAACCACAGUCCGGCGGGGUAACGUUCCUCAAACUAAACCAAAAGAUCUUCUUACUAUGUGGCUCGAUAUUUGGAUCGUCGCUCUGCUUGUCAGGUGAUACCAUUUUGCAUUUCCACGAGCAGUGAAUGAGAGUUAGUGUUGCCCACAUCCUCACCAGCACUUGGCAUUGGCAGCGUUCUGGAUUUUGGCCAUUUUAAUAGAAGACAGUCGGCUCUUGGAGAAUGACAGUGGAUCAUCGUAAGCUUAACCAAGUGGCGACUCCAGUUGCAUCUGCUGUACCAGACUGCCUUUCACUUCUGCAGGAUACCACACUGGUCCAUUACAUGGAUGACAUUAUGCCCAUUGGAUCCACUGAGCAAGAAGUAGCAAACACACUGGACUUAUUGGUGAGACGUUUGUGUGCCAGAGGAUGGGAAAUAAAUCUGACUAACAUUCA
Molecule: RNA transcript, 593 nt
Organism: Callithrix jacchus (white-tufted-ear marmoset)
Lineage: Eukaryota; Metazoa; Chordata; Mammalia; Primates; Cebidae
Source: RefSeq, a predicted model, not a curated record